AUGACUCCCCAAGCCCUCCUCCUCCUCCUCGCCGCCGCCGCCGCCGUCGCCGUCGCCGCCGCGGCCCCGCCGAACGGCGCGGCGAACGACCUCCUGCCCAAGUACGGCCUCCCCAGGGGCCUCAUCCCGGACUCGGUCAGCUCCUACACCUUCGACGAGGCCACGGGCGACUUCGAGAUCCACCUCGCGGGCACCUGCUACGUCCGCUUCGGCGACCACCUCGUCUACUACGAGAAGGCCCUCCGCGGCUGCCUCUCCAAGGGGCGGAUCACCGGCCUCUCCGGCAUCCAGGCCAAGAAGCUCUUCCUCUGGGUCUCCGUCUCCGGCAUCGUCGCGCACCCCGAGGAGGGCACCCUCGAGUUCCAGGUCGGCUUCGUCUCCGAGGAGCUCUCCGCCUCGCUCUUCGACCGGGUGCCCGUCUGCGGCGCCAGCGCCGGCGCGCAGCUCCGCGGCGUCGCCGGGGUCAUCCAGGAGCUCGGCCUGCUCCCCGUUGCAGAGGCUUGA
RNAcentral lists this ribosomal RNA (504 nucleotides) under Triticum aestivum (bread wheat). RNAcentral's name for it is "partial small subunit ribosomal RNA". The record is from RNAcentral. Lineage: Eukaryota; Viridiplantae; Streptophyta; Magnoliopsida; Poales; Poaceae.